AUUGAACGCUGGCGGCAGGCCUAACACAUGCAAGUCGAGCGGAUGAAGGGAGCUUGCUCCUGGAUUCAGCGGCGGACGGGUGAGUAAUGCCUAGGAAUCUGCCCGGUAGUGGGGGAUAACGUCCGGAGACGGGCGCUGAUACCGCAUACGUCCUGAGGGAGAAAGAGGGGGAUCUUCGGACCUCACGCUAUCAGAUGAGCCUAGGUCGGAUUAGCUAGUUGGUGGGGUAAAGGCCUACCAAGGCGACCAUCCGUAACUGGUCUGAGAGGCUGAUCACUCACACUGGAACUGAGACACGGUCCAGACUCCUACGGGAGGCAGCAGUGGGGAAUAUUGGACAAUGGGCGAAAGCCUGAUCCAGCCAUGCCGCGUGUGUGAAGAAGGUCUUCGGAUUGUAAAGCACUUUAAGUUGGGAGGAAGGGCAGUAAGUUAAUACCUUGCUGUUUUGACGGUACCAACAGAAUAAGCACCGGCUAACUUCGUG
This 484-nucleotide ribosomal RNA is filed under the name uncultured bacterium. Its description in RNAcentral is "partial 16S ribosomal RNA". It matches the Rfam family "Bacterial small subunit ribosomal RNA", at positions 30 to 507 of the family's 1533-position model. The record is from RNAcentral.